This 467-nucleotide ribosomal RNA is filed under the name uncultured bacterium. RNAcentral's name for it is "partial 16S ribosomal RNA". It matches the Rfam family "Bacterial small subunit ribosomal RNA", at positions 29 to 507 of the family's 1533-position model. The record is from RNAcentral.
ACGAACGCUGGCGGCGUGCUUAACACCUGCAAGUCGAACGGAAAGGCCCUGCUUUUGUGGGGUGCUCGAGUGGCGAACGGGUGAGUAACACGUGAGUAACCUGCCCUUGACUUUGGGAUAACUUCAGGAAACUGGGGCUAAUACCGGAUAGGAGCUCCUGCUGCAUGGUGGGGGUUGGAAAGUUUCGGCGGUUGGGGAUGGACUCGCGGCUUAUCAGCUUGUUGGUGGGGUAGUGGCUUACCAAGGCUUUGACGGGUAGCCGGCCUGAGAGGGUGACCGGCCACAUUGGGACUGAGAUACGGCCCAGACUCCUACGGGAGGCAGCAGUGGGGAAUAUUGCACAAUGGGCGGAAGCCUGAUGCAGCAACUCCGCGUGCGGGAUGACGGCCUUCGGGUUGUAAACCGCUUUCGCCUGUGACGAAGCGUGAGUGACGGUAAUGGGUAAAGAAGCACCGGCUAACUACGUG